RNAcentral lists this ribosomal RNA (253 nucleotides) under uncultured bacterium. RNAcentral's name for it is "partial 16S ribosomal RNA". It matches the Rfam family "Bacterial small subunit ribosomal RNA", at positions 524 to 776 of the family's 1533-position model. The record is from RNAcentral.
UACGGAGGUGGCAAGCGUUGCUCGGAAUCACUGGGCGUAAAGGGCGCGUAGGCGGGGAGGUAAGUCGGGUGUGAAAUCCCUCGGCCCAACCGAGGAACUGCGCCCGAGACUGCUUCUCUUGAGUCCCGGACAGGAAGAUGGAAUUCCCGGUGUAGCGGUGAAAUGUGUAGAGAUCGGGAGGACCACCAGUGGCGAAGGCGGCGAUCUGGACAGAUAUUGACGCUGAGGUGCGAAAGCGUGGGGAGCAAACAGG